This 20-nucleotide unclassified non-coding RNA is filed under the name Chlamydomonas reinhardtii. RNAcentral's name for it is "small RNA Cre_2392". Lineage: Eukaryota; Viridiplantae; Chlorophyta; Chlorophyceae; Chlamydomonadales; Chlamydomonadaceae. The record is from RNAcentral.
UAUGCGUACGAGACAGUGCG